This 397-nucleotide ribosomal RNA is filed under the name uncultured bacterium. RNAcentral describes it as "partial 16S ribosomal RNA". It matches the Rfam family "Bacterial small subunit ribosomal RNA", at positions 523 to 918 of the family's 1533-position model. The record is from RNAcentral.
AUACGUAGGGGGCGAGCGUUGUCCGGAAUGAUUGGGCGUAAAGGGCGCGUAGGCGGCCCGGUACGUCUGGAGUGAAAGUCCUGUUUUUAAGAUGGGAAUUGCUUUGGAUACUGUCGGGCUUGAGUGCCGGAGAGGUAAGUGGAAUUCCCCGUGUAGCGGUGACAUGAGUAGAGAUUGGGAGGAACACCAGUGGCGAAGGCGACUUACUGGACUGUAACUGACGCUGAGGCGCGAAAGUGUGGGGAGCAAACAGGAUUAGAUACCCUGGUAGUCCACACUGUAAACGAUGAAUGCUAGGUGUAGGGGGUAUCGACCCCUUCUGUGCCGCAGUCAACACAAUAAGCAUUCCGCCUGGGGAGUACGGCCGCAAGGUUGAAACUCAAAUGAAUUGACGGGG